UCCUGUGUUCUCCAAAGGUAGCUCUGCUUUGGGAAGAUAACUGGAUGGUUGGGUCUAGCUGCAGGAAGUCGGUAGCUGGGCUGACCUGAGGGGAAUCUUUGAGUUACAGCCUGAACAACUUGCUUCCUAUUAGGCUGCCAGAGAAAUAAGCAAGACAAUUCCCUCUCCUGCUUCUACAGUCAGGAGUGACAGGCCCUCCAUGCUGGUUCUACCAUGGUCGACUGUUAUCCCCUAAACCACAGGCUGGAGUAAUUGUUUCUUCUCCUAAGUUGUUUCUUGUCAAGUAUGUGGUUAAGGGAUGAGAAAAGAAGCAAAUAAAGUAAGGGCAUUUUCUUCAGACUUUGAGGCUAAUAUUGAAAGGGGAAGAGUGGGACAUCAAUAACCUGUCAGCCACAGUUAAAAGAUGCUAACCCUCCAGCUCUCGGAAACCACACAUUCAAGAGAUAGAAUGAGAUAAUUCGCAUCGAUCAAGCUGGCAAGUUAGAAAGUCUAAUAAGAGGAGGUUUACACAACAGUUAGGCAGUACCUGAAUCACUUCCCAUGGUGCCUGAAUCCCUGCCCAUGUUGCUGUUAUGUCCAAGACUUUCAUCGAAGCAGCUGACACUUCCUUCUGCCAAACUUGUGUCUG
Molecule: long non-coding RNA, 628 nt
Organism: Mus musculus (house mouse)
Lineage: Eukaryota; Metazoa; Chordata; Mammalia; Rodentia; Muridae
Product: predicted gene, 39839
Exons: 3
Source: RefSeq, a predicted model, not a curated record